Molecule: non-coding RNA, 733 nt
Filed under: Busonia albilateralis
Lineage: Eukaryota; Metazoa; Arthropoda; Insecta; Hemiptera; Cicadellidae
Source: RNAcentral
AAUAAGUUUGAUUCUUGCUUUUUAUUAAUUAUUUAAUUAAAUUAUAUGUUUUUUUUUUAAUAAUUUAAAUUAAUCAGUAAUAAGUUUUAUUUUUAAAUUUUAUUAUUUUAUAGUAAUUUAAUUUUAAUAGAUUAAUUUUGUGCCAGCAUUCGCGGUUAUACAAUUUAUUAGAAUUAAUAUUUUAAUAUUAGAAUUAUUUUUUUUUUGAUUAUUUAUUAAAUUUUAUUUAGGUGGAAUUUUUAAUUUUUUUAUAAUAGUCUUUUUAAUUUAUUUAUAAAUCUAUAUUAAAAACUAGGAUUAGAUACCCUAUUAUUUUAGACUUAAUUAUUUAUGAAAAUUAAUAAUUAUGUUCUAUUAAACUCAAAGAAUUUGGCGGUAAAUUUUAUUUUUAGAGGAAUCUGUUAUAUAAUUGAUAAACCACGAUAUUUUCUACCUUUUAUUAUAUUUAUAUACCUCUAUGGUUAUGGAAUGUUAUUUUAGUACAUUUUCUUUUAUUAAAUUAAUGCAAUUUAGGUCAAGGUGUAGUUUUUUUUAGGUUUUUAUGGAUUACUUAAAUUUUAUAUGUUUAGGAUUUUAUUUUUAAUGUUUAAAUGAAAUGGGAUUUAAUAGUAAUGUUAAUUAAUUAAUUAGUGUGAAUUUUAUUUAAAUUUAUGUACAUAUCGCCCGUCACUCCCUUUAAAAUGGGAUAAGUCGUAACAAAGUAGUUUUACCGGAAGGUGAGGCUAGAAGUAAA